RNAcentral lists this ribosomal RNA (914 nucleotides) under Klebsiella sp. SZH9. RNAcentral describes it as "bacterial SSU rRNA". It matches the Rfam family "Bacterial small subunit ribosomal RNA", at positions 540 to 1454 of the family's 1533-position model. The record is from RNAcentral. Lineage: Bacteria; Pseudomonadati; Pseudomonadota; Gammaproteobacteria; Enterobacterales; Enterobacteriaceae.
GUUAAUCGGAAUUACUGGGCGUAAAGCGCACGCAGGCGGUCUGUCAAGUCGGAUGUGAAAUCCCCGGGCUCAACCUGGGAACUGCAUUCGAAACUGGCAGGCUAGAGUCUUGUAGAGGGGGGUAGAAUUCCAGGUGUAGCGGUGAAAUGCGUAGAGAUCUGGAGGAAUACCGGUGGCGAAGGCGGCCCCCUGGACAAAGACUGACGCUCAGGUGCGAAAGCGUGGGGAGCAAACAGGAUUAGAUACCCUGGUAGUCCACGCCGUAAACGAUGUCGAUUUGGAGGUUGUGCCCUUGAGGCGUGGCUUCCGGAGCUAACGCGUUAAAUCGACCGCCUGGGGAGUACGGCCGCAAGGUUAAAACUCAAAUGAAUUGACGGGGGCCCGCACAAGCGGUGGAGCAUGUGGUUUAAUUCGAUGCAACGCGAAGAACCUUACCUGGUCUUGACAUCCACAGAACUUUCCAGAGAUGGAUUGGUGCCUUCGGGAACUGUGAGACAGGUGCUGCAUGGCUGUCGUCAGCUCGUGUUGUGAAAUGUUGGGUUAAGUCCCGCAACGAGCGCAACCCUUAUCCUUUGUUGCCAGCGGUUAGGCCGGGAACUCAAAGGAGACUGCCAGUGAUAAACUGGAGGAAGGUGGGGAUGACGUCAAGUCAUCAUGGCCCUUACGACCAGGGCUACACACGUGCUACAAUGGCAUAUACAAAGAGAAGCGACCUCGCGAGAGCAAGCGGACCUCAUAAAGUAUGUCGUAGUCCGGAUUGGAGUCUGCAACUCGACUCCAUGAAGUCGGAAUCGCUAGUAAUCGUAGAUCAGAAUGCUACGGUGAAUACGUUCCCGGGCCUUGUACACACCGCCCGUCACACCAUGGGAGUGGGUUGCAAAAGAAGUAGGUAGCUUAACCUUCGGGAGGGCGCU